GCGGGUGUAGCUCAGUUGGUUAGAGUGCCGGCCUGUCACGCCGGAGGUCGCGGGUUCGAGCCCCGUCACCCGCG
Molecule: transfer RNA, 74 nt
Filed under: Allobosea sp. OK403
Lineage: Bacteria; Pseudomonadati; Pseudomonadota; Alphaproteobacteria; Hyphomicrobiales; Alloboseaceae
Also listed under: 2 other names
Description: Bosea sp. OK403 tRNA
Rfam family: tRNA
About the family: Transfer RNA (tRNA) molecules are approximately 80 nucleotides in length. Their secondary structure includes four short double-helical elements and three loops (D, anti-codon, and T loops). Further hydrogen bonds mediate the characteristic L-shaped molecular structure. tRNAs have two regions of fundamental functional importance: the anti-codon, which is responsible for specific mRNA codon recognition, and the 3' end, to which the tRNAs corresponding amino acid is attached (by aminoacyl-tRNA synthetases). tRNAs cope with the degeneracy of the genetic code in two manners: having more than one tRNA (with a specific anti-codon) for a particular amino acid; and 'wobble' base-pairing, i.e. permitting non-standard base-pairing at the 3rd anti-codon position.
Source: Rfam by way of RNAcentral